Topomyia yanbarensis is the source of this 6889-nucleotide long non-coding RNA. RefSeq lists it as uncharacterized. The record is from RefSeq and is a predicted model, not a curated record. Lineage: Eukaryota; Metazoa; Arthropoda; Insecta; Diptera; Culicidae. The transcript has 3 exons.
ACAGAUAAGUUGAUGGAAGAACUGUGGAAGGAUUUGCAAUUUCCCAGCAGUUUACAUCAACUAGUGAACGGUAAUAUGACUUUUAUUCAAUUUAAUUUAUCUGUAAACGCUUAAACUCUUUCUAUUUAUUCAAUUUCCACACGAUGGGAGACCCGACGACGAGAAGGAAGUGUUCUAUGCGAAGCUGAAGGAGGUGUACGACGGCUGUUUGCAACGGGACGUGAAAAUCAUCAUCGGUGAUAUGAACGCUCAGGUAGAACGGGAGGUAAUGUUUAGACCGGCAAUCGGGCCAAACAGCUUGCACACCGUAUCGAAUUAAUCGAACCAUUACCUAGUUGCAGUAUCCAAGUAACAAUUGAAGUUUUAUAGCACACUGCAAGUGCAAUCUAAAUUUUAUGAGUGGCUAUAAAACCACCAUAAAACCUAAAUUGUUACUGAGGUAUGCAUGCGCUCAAAACUCUCGACGGUGUACAACACUCGUCGUAGUCGGACGGCAAGGCCCAACAUCGCGCAACUUCGGGACGCCGGGGUUGCCCAAGAGUACGCACAGCGGCCGGAAGCAGCACUACCCACGGAAGAACAGCUGGGCGCAGCUACUCCUGAAGAUGGCUGGAGGGAGAUCCGUUCCGCCAUAGGAAGUACUGCUAUAGCGGCACUAGGUACAGCGAUUCCGAAUCGAGGAAACGACUGGUUCGAUGACGAAUGUAAGCAGUUAAUAGAGGAGAAGAAUGCAGCACGGGCUAGGAUGCUGCAGCACUGAAUGAGACAGAAUGUGUAGCGAUACAAACAAGCACGGAACAAGCAAACCUCGGUCCUACGGAGAAAGAAGCGCCACCAGGAGGACCGAGAUCGCGAAGCUAUGGAACAACUGUACCGCGUAAACGACACAUGGAAAUUCUACGAGAAACUGAACAGUUCGCGCAAAGGUUACGGUCCGCAAGCCGAUAUGUGCAGGGACGGCAACCUCCUACGAACGAGUGUGAGGUGAUUGAGAGGUGAAUGCACUACUAUGACGAUCACCUCAACAGUGAAGCAGCAGAGGACGAAGGCGGUAUGGCAACGGAUCUUGGAGCACGCGCAGAAGACGAUAGGCUGCCGGCCCCUGAUCUCCUAGAAGUCAAGGAGGAGAUCGGUCGGCUGAAAAACAAAGCUGCCGGUGUAGAUCAUCUACGAGCUAUUAAAAUAUGUUGGUGAAACACUGGCUAAAGCGCUGCACUGGGUAAUCGCCAAAAUUUGGGAGGAGGAGUUUCUUCCGGAGGAGUGGAUGGAGGGUGUCGUUUGCCCAAUCUAAAAAAAGGGUGACAAGUUGGAUUGCUGCUACUACUGCGCGAUCACACUACUUAGCGCCGCCUACAAGGUUCUCUCCCAAAUUCUUUACCGCCGAUUGUCACCAUUCGCAAGGGAGUUCGUGGGGCACUACCAAGCGGGAUUCAUGGGUUCCCGCGCCAAAGCGACGAUGGAUCGCUUGAUGUGCGUUGUUCGAGUAUCAGGGACACUCUCGAGUCCCUUUGAAUCUCGAAGAGGGUUACGGCAAGGUGAUGGUCUAUCGUGCCAGCUGCUCAACGUUGCGUUAGAAGGUGUAAUAAGGAGAGCGGGGAUAGAUACGAGUGGCACGAUCUUCAGGAAGUCUGUCCAGCUUCUUGGCUUCGCACGGAACUUUGAGUCGAUGUCGGAAACGUUAAUCAGCCAACAAGAUUGGACCUGCCGUCAACGUUCCGAAAACAAAAUGCAUGAGAGAAAGAGGUUCUAGAGACGACAAUGUGGACCUCCCAUGCCGAGUUUGGAUUGACGGUGACGAAAUCGAGAUGGUCGACGAAUUCGUGUAUUUGGGCUCACUGGUAACCGCCGACAAAGAUAUCAGAAGAGAAAUUCAGAGGCGGAUCUUUGCGGAAAAUCGUGCCUACUUUGGACUCCGGAGGACGCUCCGAUCGAACAAAAUUCGCCGCCGCAUGAAGUUGAUUAUCUAUAAGACGCUGGUUAGACCAGUGAUCCUCUACGGUAACGAGACCUAAACUAUGCUCGUGGAGGACCAACGCGCCCUUGGAGUUUUCUAACGAAAGGUGUUGUGUACCAUCUAUGGUGGCGUGCAGAUGGAAGACGGAACGUGGCGCAGGUGAAUGAACCAUGAGUUGCAUCAGCUGCUGGAAGAACCAUCCAUUGCGCAUACCGCAAAAAUAGGACGUUUGCGGUGGGCUGGACACGUCGUAAGAAUGUCGGACGACGACCCGGUGAAGAUGGUUCUUGAGGGCGACCCUACAGGAACAAGAAUACGGGGCGCAGCACGGUGGAUUGACCAGAUAGAGGACGACCUGCGUACCCUUCGAAGACUGCGAGGCUGACAACAAGCAGCAAUGGACCGAGUGGAGUGGAGACGGCUUCUGCAUACAGCAAGAGACAACAAGGCUCUAGCCUGAACAGUAAGAGUGAAACUGUUUCACUGCCUACGAUUUAUAUAACAAUAGAUUGACAGCUUUCGGACAUUUCGCUACAAAUGAAAUACUUAAUUUUAGAGCUGCUACACUGAGUGUGAGGCUGCUUCAAGGAGAUUCUGAUUCUCCGAACAAUCCCCAAAACAACAGCUGUGCAACUCUGACGAAACGAGUCUGUGCCACUUCUACUAAGAUCCUAAGAUUCCAAUAAUCUAAGAUCUUAGCAAUAAAGGCACCCUAGCCCAACCAGAGUGCCAAAUGGCACAUCAGGAUCGACGCCAGUAACAUCCUGACAAUGGCAUAUGGCGAACGGCAACGGACAGGACACGGAUCUCGAUUUGAACGACGACUUUGGGCUGACAUGCGUGCUGCUGUACUCCCUGAGUAAGGAAGGAUGACACCGACUUGAAAUGGUGAGUGGACUAACAGCGCGGCUCCCUCCGUCCCGACAAAACCCUGGCAGGUCUCCGGAUACGUUCGAAACUCGCAACCAUUUCAUUGCUGGUACUAGGUUCGGCUGGAGUAUUCCCGAUUUUAUGCCGAUCCGACUCUGAAUACUACUCCCCAUGAAGGAUAUUGUCAACCCUUGUAUGACUUCCCAGCUUCAUGCAUAAUCAUGAGAUCACGAGAGACCACUAUGCACAACGAGUGGAGAUAGCGGCCCGAAGUUGGGACCCAAAAAAUGGAGAAAAACAUUGAAACUCAUAUAUACGGAACAGGUGUAGCAAAUCCGUUCGCCAGAGCUGGCUUGGUGAGGUCACCACUGCCAGCAACAGCGGAAGUUAUUCAGCAUAAACAAGAGGAGCGGAAGCAACAGUAACAACAGUCACAGCCGAGCGGGAUGAGUUACACCACAUAAAAGUCAAAGGUAGUGGCAACGAAGUACCUGGUGGAGGAGCUCCACAAAUUUGUGGAUGCGAGAAACUCUCAGAAUCCGAAAGAACUUAUUUUCUACCGUGAAUGAGUAUGACACGGUAACGCGGAGGCCUGAUGUAGCUGAGCGAGCAUUGGCGUCGGCUUAGGCUACUAUCUUCCUCGCCCCCCUUCCCCCCGAAGCAGGGGAAGGAGAAGCAUAUUGGAGUGGAAAAUACACCAGCUUCCGCGACUCCACAGUAGACCAGAACCUCGCCAGGAGACGGGAAACCAGGCAAGCCCAAGAGACAGACACUCUAAGACGCUGUUGUUUUCGACGGAAAGGACGUCACCCAACAGGGAGAAAGCUGGAGUACCGUUGUAGGUCGGAAGGAGGAACACGAGAAACAGCAAAUGCAGAUGUAAGUGCAAAAAGUACAUCAGAAGAGAAAAGGAAAACCUCCGGCUCGUCAGAAAGCGCCAAAGAGAGAAGCCGUGCUUGUCUCGCGACGACAUAUGCAGCGCUGCUCAAGAAGGUCAGAGAGGACCCGGAGCUGAAGGAUUUAGGGGAAAACGUGGUAAGAAUCAGGCGUACCCAAAAAGACGAGAAGAAUCCCAAGACUAGUAGCUCAACCUUGCAGGAGACUAUUACCAAAUCAAUGGGUGAAAAAGCAGAAGUUAAAGUCUCAAACUCGGAGAUGGUGACAAUGUGCUAGGACCUUGAUGAAAUCACGACAGAAGACGAGCUGAGAUGCGCACUGAAGCAGCAGUGUAACCUGUGCACAGGUGCACAUGACGAUCCCGCCAAAGAUGGAAUACGGAGGAACUCUGACAGCGAUGAUUCGUUUGCCGGUAACCGCUGCCGAUAAGGCACUGGAGGUAGGCAAAGUUACGGUUGGAUAGUCGAGAUGCCCAUUGAGAUCCGCCCCACGACUGAAUAAACAAGCGGAGAAAUGCUUCCAGUGUUUGGGCUUUGGACAUUUGACAGGGGCUUGCAAAGGCCUGGGUAGAUCCAGCGUGUGCUGGAAAUGCGAGGAGACGCGCCAUCUUGUGAGAAACUGCACGGACAGUGGCCGAAGUGCUUGCCUUGCACCGGAAACGAUCAUCGGACGGGUGACGGGUAAAAGCCCUGCCUACUGCCGACUGUAGGCCAACGGUAAUGGACAUAGCCCAGAUAAAUCUGAAUCACUGUGACACCGCACAGCUACUAUUGUGGCUGUCUACGACAGAAACUAUGUGUAGUGUCGCUUUGAUCGCCGAGCCGUAUCAAGUACCCGCUGAUAACGGUAACUAGGUGGUGGAUAGAUCGGGAACGGCUAUGAUACAAGUUCUGGGCGGAUUCCCCAUUCAAAAAGUGAUAGAAUGCUCAUACGAGGGCUUCGUAAUCACCAAAAUCAAUGGCGUCUUCGUGUGCAGCUAUUACGCUCCUCCAAGGUGGACAGUAGAGUAGGUCAGCCUAAUGCUGGAGCAGUUAACCGUGCAGUUGAUCAGUCAUAAGCCGGUAGUCAUUGGUGGUGACUUUAACGCCUGGGCUGUGGAGUGGGGCAGUAGAAAAACCAACACAAGAUGGUGUAUCCUGCAGGAAGCUCUGGCGAAGUUAGAUGUACGAUUGUGCAAAUAAUAUUCUGUUAGCACAUUUUCGAGAAACGGGAGGGAGUCUGUCAUCGACGUCACAUUCUGUAGUCCUUCAUUGACGGCGAACAUGGAUUGGAGUAUGCGAAACGUAUACGCAUAGUGACCACCAGGCGAUUCGCUACCGUAUCGGUCAACGGAACCCUGUUGCAGCACGGAGAAGGACAACCGGCGAGCGAAAGUGGAAGACGAAAGCCUUCAUCAGACCUUUUCGUUGAGGCACUUCGGCCGAACGGCGGGACUGAGAAUGUGGAUGCGGUUGACUUACCAAGAAGGAUUAUGGCGGCUUGUGACGCCACAAUGCAGCGAAAACUGGAAUCACGCAAUAGACGGCGACCAACUUAAUGGUGGAACGAGAUGCUUUGUUUGCUACGCGCUGCUUGUCUCAGAGCCAGAAGGCGAGCUCAGAGAGCAAUAUCGGAACCAGAUGGAAAAGAGCGCAAUGCAUCGUUUCGGGAAGCUAGGGCCGCUUUAAAACGGGAGUUCAGAUUUAGCAAGUCAGACUGCCACAAGUAGCUGUGCCGAGAAGUAGACGCCAAUCUCUGGGGCGACGCGUACCGAGUCCUGAUGGCGAAAAUGAAUGUGCUCGAUGACGCCAACCGAAAUGUGCCCGGGUAAGCUGAAGAUAAUCGUCGAGGGUUUUUUCUCGAAGUACGAUCCAACUGCCUGGUCACCGCCACCGUACGGCGAAUAAGAAUAAGCAAACACGGACGAUCGCAGGAGCGUCGAAGCGGCUGAAAUAAACAAAAAAACGCGGUCCAGAUGGAAUACCAAACGUGGUGCUGAAAGCUGCGAUCCUUCCAUAUUCGGACAUGUUCAGGAUCGUGCUGCAGAAGUGUUUAAAUGAAGGUAACUUCCCCGAAAUGUGGAAGGUACAGAAGCUGGUGUUGGUGCCGAAGUCAGGGAAGCCACAUGGCGAUCCGGCCUCGUAUAGGCCAAUAUGUCUGCUGGAUACAUUAGGAAAACUCUUGGAAAGAAUCAUCUUUAACAGGUUGACGAAAUGCACAAAGAGUGAGCACGGACUGUCCAAGUUGCAGUUCGGAUUCCGUAAAGGACCGUCGACAGUGGAUGUAAUUCGGACAGUGAUCGAGAAUGCUGAGAAGGCAGCUAAAUAGAAGCGAAUAGGAGAUCGUUACUGCGCUGUGGUCACGAUGGAUUUGAAGAAUGCAUUUAACAGCGCCAACUGGGAAGCCAUCGCGGCAGCGCUGCACAGAAUGAGGGUUCCCGACUAUCUAUGCCAGAUCGUAAAGAGAUACUUCCAGAGCAGAGUGCUGCUGAACGAGACGAGCGUCACAGCGGGCGUUCUUCAGGGCUCCAAUCUAGGUCCAACUCUUUGGAACGGGAUGUACGAUGGGGUAUUAGCACUGCGGCUGCCAAAGACAGUGAAAAUCGUGGAUUUCACGGACGAAGUGUCUCUAAUGGUGAUGGGUGAGCCACUUGAAGAAGUGGAGGUUGUCGUGUCCGGACUACUCAGAUAAUGAACUUCCUCGUUCAAAGUCAAUCACACAACUGACGAGCUUUAUUCAGCUCAUUUCUUUCUAGCUAUCUCCAAUCUAUUCUCUCGUCUCAUUCAAUUUAAUUUCUAUUUUCUCUCUCCUGAAUCUGUACCUUUCAUUUGAGUCGGUUAGGGAGACAAUAGACGUGAUUGAGAACUGGAUGGACGGCAAGUUUCACUGAUAUCCAUACUUGCUCCGAGCUCGCUCACGGUGAACGGAGAUAAGCACACCACCACCUGAUGUCUUGUGACUGUUACAACUGUAUACACCGAAUGUAUAACCAAACACCUGGCGAGACAGAGUACAGUUGUCAAGGCGAUGACAUCAUAACAGCAUCCCGUGGUCGCGGGGUUAGAAACCGAAUGAUAACACCGAAUUGGGAGUCGACCAAUUGUUGUCUGAAAUAAUCGAACCGUAUGAGGCAAAUGCAAGAUUCCGGUUUUCUAGAAAAUAAAGUGUUACACAAACAAAUAAUUCAUC